Molecule: ribosomal RNA, 460 nt
Filed under: uncultured bacterium
Lineage: Bacteria
Description: partial 16S ribosomal RNA
Rfam family: Bacterial small subunit ribosomal RNA
Source: RNAcentral
CCUACGGGUGACAGCAGUGAGGAAUAUUGGUCAAUGGACGAGAGUCUGAACCAGCCAAGUAGCGUGAAGGAUGACUGCCCUAUGGGUUGUAAACUUCUUUUAUAUGGGAAUAAAAUGUUCCACGUGUGGGAUUUUGUAUGUACCAUAUGAAUAAGGAUCGGCUAACUCCGUGCCAGCAGCCGCGGUAAUACGGAGGAUCCGAGCGUUAUCCGGAUUUAUUGGGUUUAAAGGGAGCGUAGGUGGAUUGUUAAGUCAGUUGUGAAAGUUUGCGGCUCAACAGUAAAAUUGCAGUUGAAACUGGCAGUCUUGAGUACAGGAGAGGUGGGCGGAAUUCGUGGUGUAGCGGUGAAAUGCUUAGAUAUCACGAAGAACUCCGAUUGCGAAGGCAGUUCACUGGACUGCAACUGACACUGAGGCUCGAAAGUGUGGGUAUCAAACAGGAUUAGAUACCCGUGUAGUC